GAUGAGCGCUGGCGGCGUGCCUAAUACAUGCAAGUCGAGCGAACAGAUGAGGAGCUUGCUCCUCUGACGUUAGCGGCGGACGGGUGAGUAACACGUGGAUAACCUACCUACAAGACUGGGAUAACUUCGGGAAACCGGAGCUAAUACCGGAUAAUAUAUUGAACCGCAUGGUUCAAUAGUGAAAGACGGUUUUGCUGUCACUUAUAGAUGGAUCCGCGCCGCAUUAGCUAGUUGGUAAGGUAACGGCUUACCAAGGCAACGAUGCGUAGCCGACCUGAGAGGGUGAUCGGCCACACUGGAACUGAGACACGGUCCAGACUCCUACGGGAGGCAGCAGUAGGGAAUCUUCCGCAAUGGGCGAAAGCCUGACGGAGCAACGCCGCGUGAGUGAUGAAGGUCUUCGGAUCGUAAAACUCUGUUAUUAGGGAAGAACAAAUGUGUAAGUAACUAUGCACGUCUUGACGGUACCUAAUCAGAAAGCCACGGCUAACUACGUG
This 497-nucleotide ribosomal RNA is filed under the name uncultured bacterium. RNAcentral's name for it is "partial 16S ribosomal RNA". It matches the Rfam family "Bacterial small subunit ribosomal RNA", at positions 28 to 507 of the family's 1533-position model. The record is from RNAcentral.